RNAcentral lists this ribosomal RNA (495 nucleotides) under uncultured bacterium. Its description in RNAcentral is "partial 16S ribosomal RNA". It matches the Rfam family "Bacterial small subunit ribosomal RNA", at positions 28 to 507 of the family's 1533-position model. The record is from RNAcentral.
GACGAACGCUGGCGGCGUGCCUAAUACAUGCAGGUCGAACGCUGAAGGAGGAGCUUGCUUCUCUGGAUGAGUUGCGAACGGGUGAGUAACGCGUAGGUAACCUGCCUGGUAGCGGGGGAUAACUAUUGGAAACGAUAGCUAAUACCGCAUAAUAUUGACUAUUGCAUGAUAGUCAGUUGAAAGGUGCAACUGCACCACUACCAGAUGGACCUGCGUUGUAUUAGCUAGUUGGUGGGGUAACGGCUCACCAAGGCGACGAUACAUAGCCGACCUGAGAGGGUGAUCGGCCACACUGGGACUGAGACACGGCCCAGACUCCUACGGGAGGCAGCAGUAGGGAAUCUUCGGCAAUGGACGGAAGUCUGACCGAGCAACGCCGCGUGAGUGAAGAAGGGUUUCGGAUCGUAAAGCUCUGUUGUAAGAGAAGAACGAGUGUGAGAGUGGAAAGCUCACACUGUGACGGUAUCUUACCAGAAAGGGACGGCUAACUACGUG